Maniola jurtina (meadow brown) is the source of this 106-nucleotide long non-coding RNA. RefSeq lists it as uncharacterized. The transcript has 3 exons. Lineage: Eukaryota; Metazoa; Arthropoda; Insecta; Lepidoptera; Nymphalidae. The record is from RefSeq and is a predicted model, not a curated record.
UUUCCACGUCAAUAAUGAUGGCAAUUCUGAUGUAUUUCUCUAUACUAAAUUUAGAAUAUUUGCAUCUUUUCCUUUUUAAUAUUGCUAAAAAGAGCAGGUAAUGAAU